CGAGUCCGAGUCUCCACGGAGACGAAGUGGCGGUCAUCCAGCUUCCUAGAAAAGCUCUAACCACGUUAAUCUUUAGUUGCCUGUACCCGAAACCGACACAGGUAGGGGGGUAGAGAAUACCAAGGGGCGCGAGAUAACUCUCUCUAAGGAACUCGGCAAAAUGACCCCGUAACUUCGGGAUAAGGGGUACCACUGAGAAGUGGUCGCAGUGGAGAGGCCCAGGCGACUGUUUACCAAAAACACAGGUCUCCGCCAAGUCGCAAGACGAAGUAUGGGGGCUGACGCCUGCCCAGUGCCGGAAGGUUAAGGAAGUGGGUUAGGGAUUCGUCCCGAAGCUGACGACUGAAGCCCCGGUGAACGGCGGCCGUAACUAUAACGGUCCUAAGGUAGCAAAAUUCCUUGUCGGGUAAGUUCCGACCCGCACGAAAGGCGUAACGAUCUGGGCGCUGUCUCGGAGAGAGGCUCGGCGAAAUAGGAUUGUCUGUGAAGAUACGGACUACCUGCACCUGGACAGAAAGACCCUAUGAAGCUUUACUGUAGCUUGGAAUUGGGUUCGGGCUUGGUUUGCGCAGGAUAGGUGGGAGGCGAAGAAGAUUUGCUUGUGGGUGAAUCUGAGCCAACGGUGAGAUACCACUCUAACCAGGCUAGAAUUCUAACUUCAACCCGUCAACCGGGGGAAGGACAGUUUCAGGUGGGCAGUUUGACUGGGGCGGUCGCCUCCUAAAAGAUAACGGAGGCGCACAAAGGUUCCCUCAGGCUGGUUGGAAAUCAGCCAACGAGUGCAAAGGCAGAAGGGAGCUUGACUGCGAGACCUACAAGUCAAGCAGGGUGGAAACACGGUCUUAGUGAUCCGACGGCACCGAGUGGAAGGGCCGUCGCUCAACGGAUAAAAGUUACUCUAGGAUAACAGGCUGAUCUCCCCCAAGAGUUCACAUCGACGGGAAGGUUUGGCACCUCGAUGUCGGCUCAUCGCAACCUGGGGCGGAAGUACGUCCCAAGGGUUGGGCUGUUCGCCCAUUAAAGCGGUACGUGAGCUGGGUUCAGAACGUCGUGAGACAGUUCGGUCCAUAUCCGGUGUAGGCGCAAGAACAUUGAGAGGAGUCUUCCUUAGUACGAGAGGACCGGGAAGAACGCACCGCUGGUGUACCUGUUAUCGUGCCAACGGUAAACGCAGGGUAGCCAAGUGCGGAGUGGAUAACCGCUGAAAGCAUCUAAGUGGGAAGCCCACCUCAAGAUGAGUGUUCUCAUGGAGUAAUCCAGUAAGGUCACGGGAAGACGACCCGUUGAUAGGCGGUAGGUGGAAGUUCAGCAAUGGAUGAAGCCGUGCCGUACUAACAGACCGAGGGCUUGAUC
Molecule: ribosomal RNA, 1353 nt
Filed under: metagenome
Description: bacterial LSU rRNA
Rfam family: Bacterial large subunit ribosomal RNA
Source: RNAcentral